GAUGAACGCUAGCGAUAGGCCUAACACAUGCAAGUCGAGGGGCAUCACAUGAAGUAGCAAUACGGAUGGUGGCGACCGGCGCACGGGUGAGUAACACGUAUGCAACCUGCCUUCAACAAGGGGAUAACCCGUUGAAAGACGGACUAAUACCCUAUAACACAGGGGUCCCGCAUGGGGAUAUUUGUUAAAGGACAACCGGUUGAAGAUGGGCAUGCGUUCCAUUAGCUAGUUGGCGGGGUAAGGGCCCACCAAGGCAACGAUGGAUAGGGGAACUGAGAGGUUUAUCCCCCACACUGGUACUGAGACACGGACCAGACUCCUACGGGAGGCAGCAGUGAGGAAUAUUGGUCAAUGGACGCAAGUCUGAACCAGCCACGUCGCGUGAAGGAAGACGGCCCUACGGGUUGUAAACUUCUUUUGCAAGGGAAUAAAGUGGGCCACGUGUGGCCUUUUGUCAAGUACCUUGCGAAUAAGGAUCGCUAACUCCGUGCCAGCAGCCGCGGUAAUU
This 508-nucleotide ribosomal RNA is filed under the name uncultured bacterium. RNAcentral describes it as "bacterial SSU rRNA". It matches the Rfam family "Bacterial small subunit ribosomal RNA", at positions 28 to 525 of the family's 1533-position model. The record is from RNAcentral.